Molecule: non-coding RNA, 73 nt
Organism: Oesophagostomum dentatum (nodular worm)
Lineage: Eukaryota; Metazoa; Nematoda; Chromadorea; Rhabditida; Strongylidae
Source: the annotation of a GenBank genome assembly
UGCAGUGUGGCGCAAUGGUUAGUGCGUUGGGCUGGUAGGCACAAGGUCAAAGGUUCAACUCCUGGUUGUGAAC